Molecule: ribosomal RNA, 497 nt
Filed under: uncultured bacterium
Lineage: Bacteria
Description: partial 16S ribosomal RNA
Rfam family: Bacterial small subunit ribosomal RNA
Source: RNAcentral
GAUGAACGCUGGCGGCGUGCCUAAUACAUGCAAGUCGAGCGAACGGACGAGAAGCUUGCUUCUCUAAUGUUAGCGGCGGACGGGUGAGUAACACGUGGAUAACCUACCUAUAAGACUGGGAUAACUUCGGGAAACCGGAGCUAAUACCGGAUGAUAUUUUGAACCGCAUGGUUCAAAAGUGAAGGACGGUCUUGCUGUCACUUAUAGAUGGAUCCGCGCUGCAUUAGCUAGUUGGUAAGGUAACGGCUUACCAAGGCAACGAUGCAUAGCCGACCUGAGAGGGUGAUCGGCCACACUGGAACUGAGACACGGUCCAGACUCCUACGGGAGGCAGCAGUAGGGAAUCUUCCGCAAUGGGCGAAAGCCUGACGGAGCAACGCCGCGUGAGUGAUGAAGGUCUUCGGAUCGUAAAACUCUGUUAUUAGGGAAGAACAUAUGUGUAAGUAACUGUGCACAUCUUGACGGUACCUAAUCAGAAAGCCACGGCUAACUACGUG